This 32-nucleotide non-coding RNA is filed under the name Mus musculus (house mouse). The record is from RNAcentral. Lineage: Eukaryota; Metazoa; Chordata; Mammalia; Rodentia; Muridae.
UGACAAGUUUUCUGGUGUCCUUGCGGUGGUUU